This 253-nucleotide ribosomal RNA is filed under the name uncultured bacterium. RNAcentral describes it as "partial 16S ribosomal RNA". It matches the Rfam family "Bacterial small subunit ribosomal RNA", at positions 524 to 776 of the family's 1533-position model. The record is from RNAcentral.
UACAGAGGGGGCAAGCGUUGUUCGGAAUUACUGGGCGUAAAGGGCGCGUAGGCGGCCUGUUAAGUCGAACGUGAAAUCCCUGGGCUCAACCCAGGAACUGCGUCCGAUACUGGCAGGCUUGAAUUCGGGAGAGGGAUGUGGAAUUCCAGGUGUAGCGGUGAAAUGCGUAGAUAUUCGGAAGAACACCAGUGGCGAAGGCGACUCACUGGACAUGUAUUGACGCUGAGGUACGAAAGCGUGGGGAGCAAACAGG